UGGUGGAGUGAUUUGUCUGGUUAAUUCCGUUAACGAACGAGACCUCGACCUACUAAAUAGUUGGCUCAACUCUUUGGGUUGACGUCCGCUUCUUAGAGGGACUAUCGGUUUGUAGCCGAUGGAAGUUCGAGGCAAUAACA
This 140-nucleotide ribosomal RNA is filed under the name uncultured eukaryote. RNAcentral describes it as "partial 18S ribosomal RNA". It matches the Rfam family "Eukaryotic small subunit ribosomal RNA", at positions 1299 to 1458 of the family's 1831-position model. The record is from RNAcentral.